GUGGAUGUAGCUCAGCUGGCAGAGCGACGGACUGUGGCUCCGUAGGUCGAGGGUUCAAGCCCCUUCAUCCACCCCA
RNAcentral lists this transfer RNA (76 nucleotides) under Coriobacteriales bacterium. RNAcentral describes it as "tRNA-His". It matches the Rfam family "tRNA". Rfam says of the family: Transfer RNA (tRNA) molecules are approximately 80 nucleotides in length. Their secondary structure includes four short double-helical elements and three loops (D, anti-codon, and T loops). Lineage: Bacteria; Bacillati; Actinomycetota; Coriobacteriia; Coriobacteriales. The record is from RNAcentral.